CAGCAGCCACGGUAAGACGGAGGGGGCUAGCGUUGUUCGGAAUUACUGGGCGUAAAGAGUGCGUAGGCGGUUUAGUAAGUUGGAAGUGAAAGCCCGGGGCUUAACCUCGGAAUUGCUUUCAAAACUACUAAUCUAGAGUGUAGUAGGGGAUGAUGGAAUUCCUAGUGUAGAGGUGAAAUUCUUAGAUAUUAGGAGGAACACCGGUGGCGAAGGCGGUCAUCUGGGCUACAACUGACGCUGAUGCACGAAAGCGUGGGGAGCAAACAGGAUUAGAUACCCCAGUAGUCCCUGUCUCUUAUAA
Molecule: ribosomal RNA, 301 nt
Filed under: uncultured bacterium
Lineage: Bacteria
Description: partial 16S ribosomal RNA
Rfam family: Bacterial small subunit ribosomal RNA
Source: RNAcentral